Molecule: ribosomal RNA, 478 nt
Filed under: uncultured bacterium
Lineage: Bacteria
Description: partial 16S ribosomal RNA
Rfam family: Bacterial small subunit ribosomal RNA
Source: RNAcentral
GACGAACGCUGGCGGCGUGCUUAACACAUGCAAGUCGAACGGUAAGGCCCUUCGGGGUACACGAGUGGCGAACGGGUGAGUAACACGUGGGUGAUCUGCCCUGCACUUCGGGAUAGGCCUGGGAAACUGAGUCUAAUACCGGAUAGGACUCCGGACUGCAUGGUCUGGGGUGGAAAGUUUUUGCGGUGUGGGAUGGGCCCGCGGCCUAUCAGCUCGUUGGUGGGGUGAUGGCCUACCAAGGCGACGACGGGUAGCCGGCCUGAGAGGGUGACCGGCCACACUGGGACUGAGAUACGGCCCAGACUCCUACGGGAGGCAGCAGUGGGGAAUAUUGCACAAUGGGCGCAAGCCUGAUGCAGCGACUCCGCGUGAGGGAUGACGGCCUUCGGGUUGUAAACCUCUUUCAGCAUCGACGAAGCGAAAGUGACGGUAGGUGCAGAAGAAGGACCGGCCAACUACGUGCCAGCCGCCGCAGUAA